This 2331-nucleotide ribosomal RNA is filed under the name Salmonella enterica. RNAcentral's name for it is "partial 23S ribosomal RNA". It matches the Rfam family "Bacterial large subunit ribosomal RNA", at positions 616 to 2925 of the family's 2925-position model. The record is from RNAcentral. Lineage: Bacteria; Pseudomonadati; Pseudomonadota; Gammaproteobacteria; Enterobacterales; Enterobacteriaceae. RNAcentral also lists the same sequence under 1 other name.
UGGGUCAGCGACUUAUAUUCUGUAGCAAGGUUAACCGAAUAGGGGAGCCGGAGGGAAACCGAGUCUUAACCGGGCGUUAAGUUGCAGGGUAUAGACCCGAAACCCGGUGAUCUAGCCAUGGGCAGGUUGAAGGUUGGGUAACACUAACUGGAGGACCGAACCGACUAAUGUUGAAAAAUUAGCGGAUGACCUGUGGCUGGGGGUGAAAGGCCAAUCAAACCGGGAGAUAGCUGGUUCUCCCCGAAAGCUAUUUAGGUAGCGCCUCGUGAAUUCAUCUCCGGGGGUAGAGCACUGUUUCGGCUAGGGGGCCAUCCCGGCUUACCAACCCGAUGCAAACUGCGAAUACCGGAGAAUGUUAUCACGGGAGACACACGGCGGGUGCUAACGUCCGUCGUGAAGAGGGAAACAACCCAGACCGCCAGCUAAGGUCCCAAAGUCAUGGUUAAGUGGGAAACGAUGUGGGAAGGCCCAGACAGCCAGGAUGUUGGCUUAGAAGCAGCCAUCAUUUAAAGAAAGCGUAAUAGCUCACUGGUCGAGUCGGCCUGCGCGGAAGAUGUAACGGGGCUAAACCAUGCACCGAAGCUGCGGCAGCGACGCUGAUGCGUUGUUGGGUAGGGGAGCGUUCUGUAAGCCUGCGAAGGUGUGUCGUGAGGCAUGCUGGAGGUAUCAGAAGUGCGAAUGCUGACAUAAGUAACGAUAAAGCGGGUGAAAAGCCCGCUCGCCGGAAGACCAAGGGUUCCUGUCCAACGUUAAUCGGGGCAGGGUGAGUCGACCCCUAAGGCGAGGCCGAAAGGCGUAGUCGAUGGGAAACGGGUUAAUAUUCCCGUACUUGGUGUUACUGCGAAGGGGGGACGGAGAAGGCUAUGUUGGCCGGGCGACGGUUGUCCCGGUUUAAGCGUGUAGGUGUGUGUUCCAGGUAAAUCCGGUUCACUUUAACACUGAGGCGUGAUGACGAGGCACUACGGUGCUGAAGCAACAAAUGCCCUGCUUCCAGGAAAAGCCUCUAAGCAUCAGGUAACAUCAAAUCGUACCCCAAACCGACACAGGUGGUCAGGUAGAGAAUACCAAGGCGCUUGAGAGAACUCGGGUGAAGGAACUAGGCAAAAUGGUGCCGUAACUUCGGGAGAAGGCACGCUGACACGUAGGUGAAGUGAUUUACUCAUGGAGCUGAAGUCAGUCGAAGAUACCAGCUGGCUGCAACUGUUUAUUAAAAACACAGCACUGUGCAAACACGAAAGUGGACGUAUACGGUGUGACGCCUGCCCGGUGCCGGAAGGUUAAUUGAUGGGGUCAGCGCAAGCGAAGCUCCUGAUCGAAGCCCCGGUAAACGGCGGCCGUAACUAUAACGGUCCUAAGGUAGCGAAAUUCCUUGUCGGGUAAGUUCCGACCUGCACGAAUGGCGUAAUGAUGGCCAGGCUGUCUCCACCCGAGACUCAGUGAAAUUGAACUCGCUGUGAAGAUGCAGUGUACCCGCGGCAAGACGGAAAGACCCCGUGAACCUUUACUAUAGCUUGACACUGAACAUUGAGCCUUGAUGUGUAGGAUAGGUGGGAGGCUUUGAAGUGUGGACGCCAGUCUGCAUGGAGCCGGCCUUGAAAUACCACCCUUUAAUGUUUGAUGUUCUAACGUGGACCCGUGAUCCGGGUUGCGGACAGUGUCUGGUGGGUAGUUUGACUGGGGCGGUCUCCUCCUAAAGAGUAACGGAGGAGCACGAAGGUUGGCUAAUCCUGGUCGGACAUCAGGAGGUUAGUGCAAUGGCAUAAGCCAGCUUGACUGCGAGCGUGACGGCGCGAGCAGGUGCGAAAGCAGGUCAUAGUGAUCCGGUGGUUCUGAAUGGAAGGGCCAUCGCUCAACGGAUAAAAGGUACUCCGGGGAUAACAGGCUGAUACCGCCCAAGAGUUCAUAUCGACGGCGGUGUUUGGCACCUCGAUGUCGGCUCAUCACAUCCUGGGGCUGAAGUAGGUCCCAAGGGUAUGGCUGUUCGCCAUUUAAAGUGGUACGCGAGCUGGGUUUAGAACGUCGUGAGACAGUUCGGUCCCUAUCUGCCGUGGGCGCUGGAGAACUGAGGGGGGCUGCUCCUAGUACGAGAGGACCGGAGUGGACGCAUCACUGGUGUUCGGGUUGUCAUGCCAAUGGCACUGCCCGGUAGCUAAAUGCGGAAGAGAUAAGUGCUGAAAGCAUCUAAGCACGAAACUUGCCCCGAGAUGAGUUCUCCCUGAGACUUAGAGUCUCCUGAAGGAACGUUGAAGACGACGACGUUGAUAGGCCGGGUGUGUAAGCGCAGCGAUGCGUUGAGCUAACCGGUACUAAUGAACCGUGAGGCUUAACCUU